UUGAAGUCAGAUCAUGUCACUCUGCUCACUACUCUGAAGCCCUUUAUGACCUAGCUCUGGGCAUCUUUUUGAUGUCAUCUCCCAUUAUGCCCUCAGUCUCGUCCUGGAGACCCCUUGCAACCUUGAUCCUGCCCAGCGGUGACAGACACUGUCUCACUAUAAGGCCUUUGUUAUUGGUGUUUCUUUCUGCUUGGAAUGUUCCUCCAGAUGUCUGCAGACGACCUUCCUCAGGUCAUUCAAGUCUUGAUCCAAGUGUCACUGUCCUCCCUGGCUACGCAAGUCAGAGCUAUGCAAGAGUCUACUACCAUUGCACUAGGCCUCAGCCCACUUCCAUUACAUCUGAAAGAACCAAAAGCACCUGCAUUUUUGAGGAAUUAUUUUCAAGAAUGAAGCACAUAAAGAAUAAAAAAACGAGAGCCAAGACGGAUACCUUGAGAACUCACUGAGAAUGACAACUACUUCCAUUGACCCAGAAAUUGAUAUAUUAGUUUCAAAUACAAAGUCAAAUAGCUCACUUGUUUUGUGCCCUCUUCUCUCUUACCUUUGUAAUAAAAACAUUUUUUUAAAUCAA
Molecule: long non-coding RNA, 571 nt
Organism: Peromyscus maniculatus bairdii (prairie deer mouse)
Lineage: Eukaryota; Metazoa; Chordata; Mammalia; Rodentia; Cricetidae
Source: RefSeq, a predicted model, not a curated record